This 253-nucleotide ribosomal RNA is filed under the name uncultured bacterium. RNAcentral's name for it is "partial 16S ribosomal RNA". It matches the Rfam family "Bacterial small subunit ribosomal RNA", at positions 524 to 776 of the family's 1533-position model. The record is from RNAcentral.
UACGAAGGUGGCAAGCGUUGUUCGGAUUUACUGGGCGUAAAGGGAGCGUAGGUGGUUAGGUAAGCCCUCCGGGAAAUCUUCAGGCUUAACCUGAAAAGGUCGGGGGGGACUGCCUGGCUAGAGGACGGGAGAGGAGCGCAGAAUUCCCGGUGUAGCGGUGAAAUGCGCAGAUAUCAGGAAGAACACCCGUGGCGAAGGCGGCUCUCUGGGACGGUACUGACGCUGAGACGCGAAAGCGUGGGGAGCGAACAGG